This is a long non-coding RNA of Raphanus sativus (radish), 1166 nucleotides long. RefSeq lists it as uncharacterized. NCBI's taxonomy places the organism in Eukaryota, Viridiplantae, Streptophyta, Magnoliopsida, Brassicales, Brassicaceae. The record is from RefSeq and is a predicted model, not a curated record. The transcript has 4 exons.
UAAGACACAUUGCUUUAGACGGAGUCGUCUUCUCGAUUACCAUAAUUCCCUGCGAAAAAGAUAAGUAACGCACGCGAGAAGCAUUAAGAAGCCGCCAUUAAACUCAACAUUCAUUCUCUGUAAUCUGAGAUCCCACUACAUCUCAUUUACUUCCCCACCACCACCUUCUUUAGUUUCUUUGCAAUCUAUAUCCUAUAAAUAAGCGUUCCAUGAUUCUCACAUAUUCAUCACAGUCAUCCUCUCCAGAGAAGGUCACAAACCUCAGCCAACCAUGGACACCUCUCAGCUAUAGCUAAGAGAAUUGAAGCCAGAACGUUGCAGUAAAUCGUAGUCACUGGCCUUCUUCGGUUUUGCGAAGCUCUGAUGUGAAGAAGUGAUGAAUCUAUGGGCGUCAGCAUGUUGCUUUUGGAUGAUAAGAGUCUGAAGCAUUUAGGAAAGUGAAGAGUGAUCCGAAUUAUACAAAGUCAUGGUAGGUGCAGAGAUCUACCUAGCUUAAAGACACAGGAAGGGGCACGUUAAAAGUUUCUAUCACAGUGGACUCACGACAAAAGACACUAAUGAUCUGUGGAUUCAAGCUGACUUUGAUGGGAACAGUCUAAAACAAUUUUAAUUAACAAAGAGUUGGAAAUCAUACCCCGUGUGAACAGAGAAAUGCUGAGGACAGAGAAGCAAAUGGUAACCAAGAACAAACGGUUGGUUUCAGUGUCAAGAACACAGCAUUGUUUCCUUCUGAAGUGGAGGAAGGAGUGUAGCUAGAAACUUACUCUCUCUCAGAUCAAGCGAGGCUGACAAUUUUAUUCACUCCCAUAAGAAUGCCUUGCUCCGGUGCUCCCAAUUGGUUUCAUGACAAAACCCUGUAACAACAAACCUUUCUCUUCUUACAUGAGACCUUUAGGUUUAUGUGCCCCCCCCCCCCCCCCCCUCCUCAUAUUAUAGGUUAGUAUCAACACUUUGCCUCCAUAGGCCAAAAAAAAAUACUGGCAACACCCUGGUUGCUCUCCCCUUGUGGUUUGUGCGUUGGGUGAAGAAGAGAGAAAAGGAUAUUACACGCUGGUCUUAAUCUUAUACAUUAUACUCUGUUCAAAUACUCUGUUCGAAUAUGUUAACCAAAUGUGGAAGUUUUCAUGUAAAAAUAAAUGUUGUAGUAAAGAUUUAAGAAGCAUCUU